GCCAGGGUAGCUCAGAGGUAGAGCAGGGGACUCAUAAGCCCUUGGUCGAGAGUUCAAUUCUCUCCCCUGGUACCA
This 75-nucleotide transfer RNA is filed under the name Verrucomicrobia bacterium LW23. RNAcentral describes it as "tRNA-Met". It matches the Rfam family "tRNA". Rfam says of the family: Transfer RNA (tRNA) molecules are approximately 80 nucleotides in length. Lineage: Bacteria; Pseudomonadati; Verrucomicrobiota. The record is from RNAcentral.